UACGUAUGGAGCAAGCGUUAUCCGGAUUUACUGGGUGUAAAGGGAGCGUAGGCGGCAGAUUAAGUCUGAUGUGAAAGCCCGUGGCUCAACUGCGGGACUGCAUUGGAAACUGGUCAGCUAGAGUGUCGGAGAGGCAAGUGGAAUUCCUAGUGUAGCGGUGAAAUGCAUAGAUAUUAGGAGGAACACCAGUGGCGAAGGCGGCUUGCUGGACGAUCACUGACGCUGAGACUCGAAAGCGUGGGGAGCAAAC
Molecule: ribosomal RNA, 250 nt
Filed under: uncultured prokaryote
Description: partial 16S ribosomal RNA
Rfam family: Bacterial small subunit ribosomal RNA
Source: RNAcentral